GUAGCGGCGAGUGAAGCGGCAAAAGCUCAAAUUUGAAAUCUGGCACUUUCAGUGUCCGAGUUGUAAUUUGAAGAAGGUAUCUUUGGGUCUGGCUCUUGUCUAUGUUUCUUGGAACAGAACGUCACAGAGGGUGAGAAUCCCGUGCGAUGAGAUGACCCAGACCUAUGUAAAGUUCCUUCGAAGAGUCGAGUUGUUUGGGAAUGCAGCUCUAAGUGGGUGGUAAAUUCCAUCUAAAGCUAAAUAUUGGCGAGAGACCGAUAGCGAACAAGUACAGUGAUGGAAAGAUGAAAAGAACUUUGAAAAGAGAGUGAAAAAGUACGUGAAAUUGUUGAAAGGGAAGGGCUUGAGAUCAGACUUGGUAUUUUGUAUGUUACUCUCUCGGGGGUGGCCUCUACAGUUUACCGGGCCAGCAUCAGUUUGGGCGGUAGGAGAAUUGCAAAGAAAUGUGGCACUGCCUCGGUAGUGUGUUAUAGUCUUUGUCGAUACUGCCAGCCUAGACUGAGGACUGCGGCUUC
Molecule: ribosomal RNA, 515 nt
Filed under: [Candida] sp.
Lineage: Eukaryota; Fungi; Ascomycota; Saccharomycetes; Saccharomycetales
Description: LSU rRNA
Rfam family: Eukaryotic large subunit ribosomal RNA
Source: RNAcentral